Molecule: ribosomal RNA, 507 nt
Filed under: [Eubacterium] saphenum
Lineage: Bacteria; Bacillati; Bacillota; Clostridia; Peptostreptococcales; Anaerovoracaceae
Description: bacterial SSU rRNA
Rfam family: Bacterial small subunit ribosomal RNA
Source: RNAcentral
CCGCGUGAGGUAUGAAGGCCUUUGGGUGAGCCUCUGUGCCUAGGGGAAGAAAAAAAUGGACGGUACCCGAGGAGGAAGCCCCGGCUAACUACGUGCCAGCAGCCGCGGUAAUACGUAGGGGGCAAGCGUUAUCCGGAAUUAUUGGGCGUAAAGAGUGCGUAGGUGGUCUACUAAGCGCGAGGUGAAAGGCAAUGGCUCAACCAUUGUUAGCCUUGCGAACUGGCAGACUUGAGUGCAAGAGAGGAAAGCGGAAUUCCUAGUGUAGCGGAGAAAUGCGCAGAUAUUAGGAGGAACACCGGCGGCGAAGGCGGCUUUCUGGAUUGUAACUGACACUGAGGCACGAAAGCGUGGGUAGCAAACAGGAUUAGAUACCCCUGGUAGUCCACGCCGUAAACGAUGAGCACUAGGUGUCGGGGACAUGAGUCUCGGUGCCGCAGUUAACGCAAUAAGUGCUCCGCCUGGGGAGUACGCACGCAAGUGUAAAACUCAAAGGAAUUGACGGGGACC